This 253-nucleotide ribosomal RNA is filed under the name uncultured bacterium. RNAcentral describes it as "partial 16S ribosomal RNA". It matches the Rfam family "Bacterial small subunit ribosomal RNA", at positions 524 to 776 of the family's 1533-position model. The record is from RNAcentral.
UACGUAGGGUGCAAGCGUUGUCCGGAAUUAUUGGGCGUAAAGAGCUCGUAGGCGGUCUGUCGCGUCGGCUGUGAAAACUCGGGGCUCAACCCCGAGCCUGCAGUCGAUACGGGCAGACUAGAGUGCUGUAGGGGAGGCUGGAAUUCCUGGUGUAGCGGUGAAAUGCGUAGAUAUCAAGAGGAACACCUGAGGUGAAGACGGGUUGCUGGGCUGACACUGACGCUGAGGCGCGAAAGCCAGGGGAGCAAACGGG